This 11692-nucleotide long non-coding RNA is filed under the name Triticum aestivum (bread wheat). RNAcentral describes it as "long non-coding RNA (TAES_LNC007157)". The record is from RNAcentral. Lineage: Eukaryota; Viridiplantae; Streptophyta; Magnoliopsida; Poales; Poaceae.
UUUUUUUUUUUGUCAAGACUUCCACCAAUGUUAUUUUGUGAUGAAACUUUACAUGCACUUCAAACAUUCCUUAAAUUUUAUCGCAAAAAAAUCAUAAUUUUUUGAAUAUUUUUUUAUCUUUUUCGAUUUUACUCUUCACACCAAAAACAUUUGAGCUCGGGCUCGGGCUGAGAAAGAUACUUCCGUCGUAGCAACCCGGCCCGAAUAGAUUAGUGUACCAAGGAGACGGUGAGUAUAGUUGUGGACGUCAACGUCGUCGUGUGAAUUUUGUGCAUGCAUGCGUGCAUGAGUGGCUUUCAACUUUUGGAUUUGCCUUUGAAAAUGCAUGCGACGGAUGGCCACUCAUCGAUGGAUGGAUGGGUAUCCCUCCCUCUCCCUGCUGGGAGUGAAGUGCUUCUCCUUUUUGGCAAAGCUAUCAAUCAGCCUAGUUUGCAGCAACACUCAAUUAGACACCACAAGCAAGGGAAGGGCUUGCAUGAUCGUCGACACAUUGCUAAAAGUAACAACCAAAGGUCCUCGUUGCCAAGUACGAGUAGCUUAGCUAUCUGGCUUUUCCAAACGUGAUGGAUGCGUGGAUGCAUGGCAUUGAUUGCUCUGACCAAUUGAUCGAUGCAUCAUCAUACCAUAUCAUAUCAUAUCACCAAUAUCAUCCGUUAAUUCUAUUUUUCGUAUACAUACAAGUUUUUUUCAAAAAAAAGAAGAAGUUGAAAUUAGAUGUGCCAGCGGUCGGGUCACAAAAGCAGCUUCAAGAUUUGGUGGCCAUUGAUUUCAAAAAUAAAUAUUGAUGGCUAUUUCUAAGUGAGUUUUUUAUUUGAUAAUAAUUUUUUUGCGAGUGAUUUUUCAAUAAUGAUAGCCGCCUCCCUAUGAACAUACAGCAGAUAUCCGGUGAAAUAGGACACAAAUUUCCAUUAUCAUCAGCAACAUCUCACAUGCAUGCAGAUUCUCAUUUUGUUUGGUUGGCCCUCUGGCUAGUUGUACCAGUUUUCUAGUUAGCUCAACUCCUGAUAGCUAGGUCUUCAUGCCAUGGUCUAGAGACAAUAUCUUGUCUUGUAGUAUUUCCAAACACAACUCCUUGAACUUCAAGGUGGUCGGUCGUCCUGGCAAGCCCGGCCAUUAACUCAUGAAGAUUACUACCGACCCAAGAAAAACCAUUGCUUCAUGCUUGGGAUACAUAUUACAUACAUACAUGUUCAGAUUGAGCUAUCUUAGCUUGUAAGGGUGCAUGCAUGAUGCAAAACACUCAACAAUGAUUGUGACGCCUCACAUGUACUACAACCUAGCCUGCCUGCUCCUGCUAGCUUUGUCCAUGCUUAAAGCUCAAGGCACCACCACAAAACACACACUUGCUUGUGUUUUCAUUCUUUCCUGCCCCUUUUAAUCCUCUCUCUUUUCACACAGAGCCAUGCAUGCAUGGUACUCAGUAUAUGAUGGAAUUGGAACGGAAUCAUGCAUGCAUGGAUCCAUGUUGCUGCUGAUGUCCUUCCUUUCUUUCUUUUUGGUCACGUACGUACGUGAAAUGCCUUUACUUUUAGCUCACUGGGCUCAGCAUGAACGCAUUCGGGAAAAGUUGAGAGAGGAAAAGAUCGACAACAGUACGUACUCGCUAGCUGGGACGCCAGGGAACAAUGAUAGAGCAUGCUUUUACUAUAUGACAAAGUUGUUACCGAAUCUGUAUUUUUUAGUUACAUUCACGUUUGAUCAUUGGCCAUUUCGGUUCAACAGGCAGAUCUGUCGUACGUGCUACACAUGGAUGAAAUUAUCAAGUUGGUAUACUAGCUUUGGCAAGCUUGUAGUACGUACGAAGGUUGAUGAUGGAGUUUGUUGUCCGCCGUACCAUGCAUACAUGAAACGUGUACGGGUUAGCUCAAUAUAUGCACUUUGAACUACGUACUAGCCCACGAACCUACAAGGCAACCACUCGUCUGAUGAGCAUUUAUUUUUCUCUCUGAUUUUUUUCUUGUGAAAAGGAGGUUAAACCCCCAGGCACAUCCAUUCUUAUUAAUUAGUCUUAAACAGAGUACAGAACAAAAUUUAAUCAUAGCCAAACCAUUACAAGAUGUGAAAUAAACACCGACGAAUAAGUCAAAUUUCUUCCGUAGCAACGCCUUCAAUGAGGGAUAAAGGUCCUCGCGGCAUCAUCCAACACCGACCUGAGGUGACCUAGACAAGGAUUUUCAUACUGGUUGCCAAGACCACUCAAUGAAAAUCGACACAAUAGCAAGUAGAAAAUGCCUAACAAAGCAAGUUUGUCACUGUUGAUCUUGACCAAUAAAAGACAAGAGAUGGGUUUUUUCACCCCCGACAAGACUUAUCUCUUAGAUUAUGCAACGUACAUUCCUGCAAAUGUAGUCGAAAAAAAUAUGACUGUUCUCAAAAGAAUAAUGUGGAGAGUACUAUCAACUAUGUCUGAUUUCAAUCUUGCACCUCAAGCCUCCGCUCUAGAAAACAAUGCAAAAUCUCAAAAACGGGUUUUGCCAGCCUUCCCACAUCCCCAUGUAUCAUCCUCUUUCGUGCGUUGUAGUCAUGUUACGCCAAAACCUAUAGUACACACCAACAAAUGUACUAUAUCGUUAUCAUUCAUGGGUACGUUUGGCUAUCAAGUAAACUGUAGAGGAUCACCAGACCGUUCUCUCCAAUUUGUAUCGUCCCAUGUUGAUACCACUUGAUAGAGGCAAAGGUGUCCCGUCUUUCGUUUUGGUGGAAGUCGACUUUGACGAUCGACUACGAACGUGUGAGGACGUCGCGCCUUAGCAAUCGCUAAACCAACUCCGAGAGGUUAUUGACCACGCCGGAGCACGAUCAACCUGACCACGAGGGUAUGUUUCCUGCGAGCAAACGAAGAACAAGCAAGAAACUGAGAUUGCAAUCUGGAUAUUGCGAAUAUAAGAUGAAAGCUUUAUUGAUCAAGGUGGGGUUCUGUGACGCCUUUGUCUGGUCGUUGAACACAAAUGAAGUACGCGAAGUUGCAGCUAUGGCGAACUUUAAUCUAAACAAAACCCAAAGUCUAAACGGUGCCCUAAGGGCUGUAUAUAUGGAGGAAGAGGGGGGGGGGGACUUUCGUGGCCCUUGGUGGAGGGGUCCGAAAUCAACCCUGUCUCUUGUUUCCCCACACAUACGGACUCUAAAAAUAGCCUAUACUUAUGUAUUUCGAAAUUACAAGGGUCUGGCCCAAUAAUAAGGUGACGCAAUACCUAGAAUAGCCUCGGGACGAAAUUUAUGAAGUGGCAUCUUGUAUAUUUCGUCCAAGGCUUCAUGCACCCAUUAUGGUGACUUCAAAGUCCUGAAAUCAUCGCUUGUAACUCCGUUCUUGUUCCCCUUGCGCAUGGCAUCAUCUCCAUGCUUGUUCUUGCUCCAAUGUUCAUCCUUCUCCAAGCUAGGCCCUUCAUUUGUAAGCAAAACAAAUGUAUCCAAUUUAGACAGCAUCAUAUUCUCAUGAACAUUAGAAUCAUUACCAAGAAACGGAAGUACCUGAUAAUUUAAUUGGCGUGCGCGAGUUCUAGUAAUUGGUCCCGUAUAUGUAGCAGUAGGGGCUGUGGGUGUAACAAUGGUAUUGAUGUCCUCAUCACAUGUUGUGGCACCUACUUUUUUCGUUGUGGAGUGGGAGUGAACCGGAAAGUAAAAUAAUCGACUCAUGACGUGGUUAAACCCCGACACAACUAAAAGUGUAUUGAGAGAAAAGGCAUAUAUGUAUUCUUAAAAAUCGUCCAGUAUGCCUCUAGAAAUGAGAAGGUAUUUUACUAAAUUAGGACAGUAAAACCGAGCCUAAUAUCAACCCUCUUAUGCACUAUGCAUUCCUGUCCGUUCAUAACUACGGCAGAUUGAGGAAGGUUGCUUUUGAGGGAUUCUUGUGGUUAACCAUUUGAUACUUUGCUCACUAAAGGAGAUUUGGGUUGGUUCUUUUUUUCCUCUAUUAAAAUCUCCCAUUGAAGACUAUGAAAGUAUAGUAGUAGUAAAAAGAAACACCCUAGCUACUACCACAUGGUAGCACCCACCACAAGGGCCACAAGACGGUCCACAGCGCUCCUCCCGCACAGUUCCAAGAGAAUUAGUGUCGCCCACCCUUUUGCUUUGGGUUGCCAGCAGCGGUGGGCCCGGCCCGUCAGCCGCACCUUUCUCCCCAGGUGGGGCUCCUUUCGUCUUUCUUUUUCACUGUCUUCCACACUGCCUUUUCUCCACUGAGACGGACAGACAGACGCACUCUCUCGCCGCCCGCCCCUAAUCCAUCCUCCUUUUGUCGAUUUUUGAACAAUCAAAGCGCCCCACUCUGCUGUUGAUUUCUUUCUCCCCAGCAGCAAAAGGAGCACCAGCAGCCUACGGAUUGCGGCGUGUGCUCAUCUUCUUCCUCCAGCUCUGCGCUGUUCCCACUUCCCACACCCGGAACCACAGGAGGAGGAGCCGCAGCAAGCAGAGCCUUUCCCCGCUCGCAGACGCUGGCAGCGCCCCGGCGGAAACAAUGGAGUGAAGGAAGGGCACAGCAGGCCGCCGUUGUGCUCCUCCUCCUCACCACCUGCGCCUGGGCUGGAAUGAGGAUCCGGUCGGUUUUGACCCCUUGAUGCUCGAGUCGAGAGGGUGUCUACUCAAGAUCGACGGACGAGCAGCAGCAGCAGCAGCUCUGGUUGCCUAGCUGCUUCUCUGCUUUUCUUGCCUCCGCGGGAGUGAGGUCUCGAGAGGGAACCCCAUGGCGUCCGCCGCCGCUCUUCUCCUCCAGCUCCAGCUGCUGCUGCUCCUCUCGCUCUCCGCUGCUCAGCCUGGUGAGUUGCCCCUCCUCCUCUUCUCGCGAGAUUCUUGGCUCUUGGGCCAUGGAGGAUUGGCGCACCUGCUUAGGUUAGAAUCCAUAGCCUUAGAUGCCGAAAGAGUUCAGAUUCCUAAGGAGGUUUCCGCAGCAUAUGCAUGUUCAUACAGUUGAUAAUCCUUUCAGAUUUCACCUUCUUAUUAUGCAACAAAUGUAUGCUAUACUAGCUAAGUUUCAGGGACCAGCAAAUAAAAAUAGCAAAUUGGGCUUGUGUGCAGGUUUCAUCAGCUUGGAUUGUGGGGGAGCCGAUGAUUACACAGAUGGCAUUGGCAUCCAGUGGACUUCUGAUGCCAAGCUGGUCUUCGGUGGGCAGGCCACAAACCUGCCGGUCCAAAACCAGCUCCAGAAGCAGUAUUCAACUCUGAGGUAUUUUCCAGCAGACAACAGCAAGUAUUGCUACACGAUGAAUGUGAGGACCAGGACACGCUACCUCGUCAGAGCUAGCUUCCUCUACAGAAACUUCGACAACAGCAACGUCUACCCCAAGUUUGAUCUCUCCCUCGGAGCCACUCCCUGGUCCACGGUCAUAAUCGAUGAUGCCGACACGCCGGUUGUAGAGGAGGCCAUUAUCUUGGCUGCCGCUCCCACACUCAGUGUCUGCCUCUCCAAUGCCAGCACAGGACAGCCGUUUAUAUCUACACUCGAGCUUCGCCAGUUUAACGGUUCACUCUACUAUACUGACUAUGAGGCACAGUUCUUCCUUGCACUGUCUGCGAGGAUAAAUUUUGGUGCUGAUGGCAAUAAAUCAGUCAGGUACUGUAUACUACUCCCUCCAUUCCAAAUUAUAAGAUGUUCUAAAAAAAUCUGAAUCAGAUGUAUAUAGACGCAUUUUAAUGUGUUUGGUCACUCAUUUCAGUCCAUAUGUAGUCUAUAUUGAAAUAUCCAAAACAUCUUAUAAUUAGGAACGGAGGUAGUACGUGAUAUGAACAUUGUCAAUAGCUUCAUAUGAACAUUGAAAACAUGUGUUUGUUCUUGCAAUCUUCUGUCCUAUUCUUAGGUUUGCAGUUAUAUUGUACCACUAGAGUGUCUGACUGUGCCAUGCUGCCACAAAAAGUUCUUCCCUUUUUGGGAGGAUACAUAACAAAGUUCUGAUCGUGCUUCACUUAGUAUCAUGUGUUUUUAGUUUUGACAUGAAAUGCCUUGUUCAAUAAAAAUAUAUAGUUGAAGGGAGCUUUCCUUUGAAUUUCUCAGGUACCCUGAUGAUCCAUUUGAUAGAAUAUGGGAAUCCGACUCUUUGAGGAGAGCGAAUUAUCUUGUUGAUGUUGCUCCAGGGACUGAAAGAAUAACAACCACAAAACCAGUAUUCGUCGGUACUGAAUUAGAACCACCUGAAAAGGUCAUGCAAACAGCGGUGGUUGGCCAAAAUGGAUCCUUGAACUACCGGCUUGAUUUGGAAGGGUUCCCGGGAAAUGCAUGGGCAGUCUCAUAUUUUGCUGAAAUUGAAGAUUUGGCCCCAGAUGAAACUAGGAAAUUUAAGUUAGUGGUUCCUGGCAUGCCAUUAUUCAGUAAACCAACCGUUGACGUGGAGGAGAAUGCGCAGGGGAAGUAUCGUUUGUACCAACCAGGUUACACAAAUGUGACACUUCCAUUUGUUUUCUCUUUCGAGUUCAAGAAGACAAAUGAUUCUUCAAAGGGACCUAUUUUGAAUGCUAUGGAAAUUUACAAACAUGUUCAGAUUACCAUGGGAUCUCAAGAUGGUAAGCACUUGUCCACAUUGUUGUUAUCAUGUUUUUUUCCGAUCAAGCUAACUGUGUAGUCUCUCUCUCAUGUGAAAAAAAGAAACUUUUUGACUAAUUGAGUGGUUCCAUAAUAUUGACAGCAAACACCAUGUCUAGCUUGGCCUCACGGUAUCCUCAAGCAGGUUGGGCGCAAGAGGGUGGUGAUCCAUGCUUACCAGUGUCAUGGACCUGGGUGCAAUGCAGUUCAGAAGCAGCACCCAGAGUUCUUUCAAUGUAUGGUAAAUUUAAUCGUGCAAUUCUGCCUUCACUUUGGAUUUAUUGAUUAAUUCCUUGUAUUAAAACCUAAGAAUUGUCCCUCACAGCACAUUGUCAGAGAAGAACAUCACAGGAAGUAUCCCUGAGGAGUUGACAAAGUUAUCCGCCUUGGUCGAGUUGUAAGCUCAGAUGGUUCAUUCUUUCCAUCCAUUUUUUUGCUUUCUCUUGUCUGAUCUACUUAUUUCUGUAAAUGCAGAAGACUCGAUGGCAACUCAUUUUCUGGUGGAAUCCCUGAUUUUAGUGGAUGCAGAAAUCUGCAGUAUAUGUGAGUUUGCAGUUUUUGUCAUAGAGCAGCAUUCUGCAGGAUUUAUAAUUUUAUAUUGAACUAAUCCAACGUGGUUUCAUAUAUAUGCAGUCACCUCGAAAACAAUCAGUUAAAUGGUGCACUGCCAUCCUCUUUGGGAGAACUACCUAACCUCAAAGAGUUGUAAGUUCUUCAUAAUUUUGUGCACUUAGUUUAUCCACCCCUUACUAUGGAGAAUGGAAGUUGAUCCAGUGGUCCAGACUGUCCUUCCUCUCUUUGUUUCCUGGUGUUCUGUGCUCAAAUUUUUGUCGAUGCUAUUAAUUUUAUCUUUCUGGUAUAAAUGCAUUUGAUCAAGAGUCUUUACAAAAAUAGAACUUCUGCACUUACUCAUUCCCAACCAUUGCAGGUAUAUUCAGAACAAUAGGCUUUCCGGACAUAUUCCAAGGGCACUUUCCAAGAAGAGCAUUAUUUUCAAGUCAGUACUUUCUCUUUAGGCAGAUGUAGCUAGCAUAUUUUAGAUUAAUUAAUGUGUAAUAUUGUGCUUGAGAACACUACUGUGGCUGGACAAGCUUCACUUUGUGACAUACAGUGGUAACAUACGUAGAGAGCAACAAUGGUCCUUCAGGAGCCAAGCAAUAGUAUUAGCCACAAUGAUAGUGUUCUUUAGGAUGUUCCUUCUGUUCUAAUUUCUUACCUGCUGCAGCUCGUCAGGCAAUAAUCUUCAGGGGCCAAGUGAUAGUAUUAGCCGCGGCACCAUCAUAAUCAUCGUAUGUGCGGUGGUUGGGGCCAUCUUGUUACUUGCGAUUGCUAUUGGAUGCUGUUUGUGUACACACAAGAGAAAGAAAAAACCUUCACGUGGUAUGUGUUCUUUAGCUCAGUGGAUGUUUCUGGUACUAUGUAAGAACAUGCAGUGAUUUAUUUUUGCCAUUUUGUAGAAACUGUUGUUCUUGCAGCACCAGCGAAAAGGCUAGGGUCAUAUUUCAGUGAAGUAGCUACAGAAACAGCGCACAGAUUUGCUUUAUCAGAAAUUGAAGAUGCUACUGACAAAUUUGAGAGGAGGAUCGGCUCUGGAGGGUUUGGCAUAGUAUACUACGGAAAGCUGGCAGAUGGGAGAGAGAUCGCAGUCAAGCUUCUCACAAAUGACUCCUAUCAGGGCAUCCGAGAAUUCUUGAAUGAGGUCUGCUUCUGUUUUAGCCCUGUUUAUGUUUCUACUCCAAGUGUAGCUCUAUGGCCGUACAUACCUUUUUCACCGUUGAAGAGAUAAACACAGCAUGUUUACUUUUUUCUUCGAAAAGGAGGCGUACCCCCGGCCUCUGCAUCUCUUGAUGCACACAGCCAUAAACACAGCAUGUUUACUUGUUUCUGCUUUUAGUAUGGCUUUGUAGAUCGACGCCCUGUUGUGAAGCAAGAACCUGAUAAGUCGACCAUGCUACUUUUUCUUAAUCUAAUGACUUGUUAAUGUGCUGUAAGCAUGUGACAAUUUUUGCCUCAAUUAUACUUCUCUCUGUAUGUCACCACUGUAUGUUUCUGCAAUUUCGGUGCCUGGCGCUUGCCUUUUAAAUAUCCUUGCAUUCUGUGUCUACACAUCCCUCUUAUAGUCUGCUGUAAAGGUCUACUGAACAUCCAUGUCAUGAUGUGGUUGCACCAUUGCAUGCAAGAUAUACCAUAUGCUCAUGCAUUUCUUUCUUCUGGAUGUUGUCCUGAUGAGCUAGCUGGCUUAUUGUUUCAGGUGGCGUUGCUUUCGAGAAUACAUCACAGGAACUUGGUAACCUUCCUUGGUUACAGUCAACAAGACGGGAAGAACAUACUUGUGUACGAGUUCAUGCACAAUGGAACACUAAAGGAGCACCUUCGUGGUGAGUGCCCUUAGCUGAUGUUAAUUUUGUUUGGUGGGAUCAACAGCAUACUGUUGGCAUAUGCACCUAAUGUUUCUUUAGCGGCAAAACUUUGUCUGGGCAACUGUAUUUAGGAUCUUGUACAGAUGUUUAGUUGGUUGACCUCAAACUUGUACUUGGAUCAGCUUCUUUUUAAGGAUAGAUCAGCUUUUUGUUCUGUGUGGACAGGCCGCCAGGCCUGACAUUGCUGAUUUUUUAAGUAUCAUUAAGUAAUUCCAGUAGUACACAGAAAAUUUAGUUUUUUUAAGUAUCUAAAUUUUGAGGUCUAUUCUUCACACUUGAGCCGAGGACCGACAUGAACUGUUAGAUUAAUGUGCUCCUUACCCCAUAGAAUAGAAUAACAUAUAAAAUAUUAAACCUCUGAAUUAUGACGAUGUUUCACAGGAGGACCUAAUGAUGUGAAAAUAACUAGCUGGGUUAAGCGCCUUGAGAUAGCAGAAGAUGCUGCGAAAGGUCUGUCUCAGUUUCCUUCCUACUCUUCUACUAGCAUGCAAUCUGAAGAUUCUGAAUCUCUCUUUUUUUGUCUUGAAUAUUGCAAAUAUCAGGUAUAGAGUACCUCCAUACGGGAUGCUCUCCAACCAUAAUUCACAGAGAUGUUAAGAGUAGCAACAUUUUACUUGACAAGAACAUGCGGGCAAAAGUCGCAGACUUCGGCCUAUCAAAACCUGCAGUCGAUGGGUCUCAUGUAUCAAGCAUAGUUCGUGGGACGGUUGGGUAUCUUGAUCCAGAGUAAGACCAUCUUUCCUGAGCUCAUAGUGUUUGUUCUCUUUGCCAUGGUUUAGUGAUUUGAAGUGUUUGCUAUCCUGGUAGCAUCUGAGGUAUAAUUUUCUUUUUCUUCUUUUGAUGGCGACGAGUAGGUACUACAUCUCCCAGCAGCUAACAGAGAAGAGUGACAUAUACAGUUUUGGUGUCAUCCUACUUGAGCUAAUCUCUGGCCACGAGCCGAUCUCUAGUGAUAACUUUGGGCUCAACUGCCGUAACAUUGUGGCAUGGGUAAGUAUCUUGCGACCUGUUAGCUUUCUGCGUUUGGUUUAAGCUGAUAUUGAUGAGCAAUGCUGCCGAUGAAUGAACUGGAAUUGGCAGGCUAGGUCGCACAUUGAGAGUGGGAACAUUGACGCCAUCAUUGAUGCAUCACUGGAUACCGGCUACGACCUGCAGUCGGUGUGGAAGAUCGCGGAGGUGGGCAUCAUGUGUGUGAAGCCAAAGGGCGCGCAGAGGCCAACCAUCUCCGAGGUGCUCAAAGAGAUCCAGGAUGCCAUCGCCAUCGAGGUGCAGCGGGAGGCACCCCAAGUCCAGCAGCUCAUGUCCAAGAGGUCCAUGGGUUCUGUCUCGAUCAACACCGACAACAGUGUGGAUCUGGAGCAGAACGCGUCGUUUGAUGAAAUGCUCAUGCGGCCAGGCCUCAGGUAGAAUCAGGAUUCAUCAAGAGACACUUUUCGUGUAAGCAAGGAGGAGGCAAGGAUCAUGUGUUAGUUAGGCUUUACUUUUCCUGCUAAUGAUUUGAAAGCUGUGGAUGACAUUAGCUUUAGCUUGCAGUACAAAUUGGGAAUUUGAUGGUGAAAGAUUGGCGAUCUGGAACUGUUAUUUUCCUUGUUGUUCUUCGUAUUGGUUUCAAACUGUUAGGAUGUCAUCCUUGGUAGGGUAGGGGGGCAAGCAGACAGGAACUGCUGGAUUCAAUUUCACGACGGCAGAGGAAUGUUCAUCUCAAAACUAACACAGCCAUGUCGAUUGUUACUAAUAAGAUGAUCCAAAAAGCUUGCUUGAGAAAAACACAUUACAGCUAGUAACAAACAUCAAAUGUAGUCAAAAACCUUCAGUUUGAUGCCAAACAAUUGUCAGUUGAGCUAUAGAUGAUUGUCACAUUUGCUUUCAGUUUUUGAUUCAACAAACCCCACACCAAAACAUGAGCUUUCUAUGCACCACAAGACCUACCAGCGGCAAGUUACAAAUCAUGUACAAAGGAGUCUCUCGAAUCCCCAAGGCAAGAAAACAUUUACACAGCUACUAUGGCGAAAUAGAACAUACGCGCUAAACGGUGUCUCUCUUCUCAAGCCAGUUCCAUCGCACCCAAACCAUAUGUAUCCAUAUACUUCAAGGACCAACUGUUCAUGUAUGACUUCGCCUAGAAAGGAACCUGAUUGAUGACCAAGCAAGGGAACAAAACAGCGAUCAUUAAUGUGCCGGCACAUCCAGCAACGUUCACAACACCACACAAAACAAAAUAAUAAUUACACAAGGACAAAAAAGGGGACGCACACAAGUAUAUCAAAUUGGUGGAUAAAAUGUUGUGAACACAUACCUUGUGCUUGGAAGAUCUAGUUCAAACUCAGGAUCGUGUCGGCCCAUUUGCAUCAACUGCCUUCCAGUAGAACUUUCACGUACCAGCUCAUAAGCACAACCAUUAGACAAGCACUGUGCAACCAGUUACUUUCAGAACAAGAGACACGCCCAAAAUAGACGCGGAGAGGUCAAUAUUCACCUUCAAAGACAACUAAAGUCCAAAGGUUCUGUUAUACAUAUCAUUUGAACCCAGCAUGUGAAAGUUGUUAGCUUCAGUUGGAUAUAACAUCCUCGACAUGUCCGAUAUGGGAACAUUAUUCCCCUGUCUCAAAUCACUCCAGCCAUCCCAGUGACCAUUUGCAAGCUGUGAGUUUCUAGGUUGUUGGAGUGACAUCUGUGCAUAAGGGGAUAGAGAACCAUGGUUCUGUGGCAGAAGUCGGGAUGCCAGAUAAUUAUCAUUCUGAAUAGGGUUGAAUGCAUCUCGAAC